UACGAAGGGGGCUAGCGUUGUUCGGAAUCACUGGGCGUAAAGGGCGCGUAGGCGGCUUGAUAAGUCGGGGGUGAAAGCCUGUGGCUCAACCACAGAAUUGCCUUCGAUACUGUCGAGCUUGAGACCGGAAGAGGUAAGUGGAACUGCGAGUGUAGAGGUGAAAUUCGUAGAUAUUCGGAAGAACACCAGUGGCGAAGGCGGCUCACUGGACUGGUAUUGACGCUGAGGUGCGAAAGCGUGGGGAGCAAACAGG
Molecule: ribosomal RNA, 253 nt
Filed under: uncultured bacterium
Lineage: Bacteria
Description: partial 16S ribosomal RNA
Rfam family: Bacterial small subunit ribosomal RNA
Source: RNAcentral